GGAAGUGGGACUCUACAGCCCUCCGAGACCCCUCAAGGAUCUCAGGGGCCACAGGCCCCAGCAGUGGGCUUUUCUGGAGACAACACCACUUCACAGGCACUGGCUUUCAGGUCACUAUAUGAAUGCGAGAGGUACCAGGAGUGGCCAGGUCACCAUCCUGCCAGCCUCACAUCCAUGGACUUCGUCUCUGGCCUCUGCCCUCUGGCUACUGGCAGCAGCAUGCUUGAUUCCUCUAUGGCUGCCCACGAUUCUUGGAUGAUGCCCUUUACACUGUCAUCCUCCGAGGAACAUUUCCUCUCGAUGGAGGAACCGGGCCUUAGACACCAGCUGGACUCUGGGAUGGAUCCUGAACUUGUCCCCUUAGCCAUGGACGUUGCUGCACUCGCGGGUCCCAGCCAUGCAGGAUCUACUGGCCUGUGUGGUAGUCACUCUCAGAGCUUAUGCCAAGAGGAGAGUCCAGGACCAAGAAGUGGGCAGGCAGCUUCCACUGCAGGCUGUUAAAAUUCAUCAUCCCCAUAGGUGCAAUGGCCCGGUGGCCAGGCGUCAUGGAAUGCUUUCUGGAGAGCCAUGAUGCUCCUUGAGUUUUCUGAGGGCAGCGGGGGUCACACAGCCCAUGUGAAGAUCGGAACAGCACAUGGAAUCACCCCGAAUAAAAAUUGAUGCUCCAAGAAAUCCCCAAGAGAGUUGGCAAGGAAGCGCCAAAGAGCUUCUUGUCAUACCACACUCACUGUUUGAACAGUUUGGAUGGUAAUUCUCUAUCUUGGCAAAGUUUUUGAGAAAUGUUUGUGGUAUCAUAAGUCUAAUGUGGGUCUGCUCCAGGCAGACAGUGAUCAAAGUUGAGUUUAGCCCCCCUCCCCCCACUCCCCUUCCCGGCACGAGCUGGGAAGGAGAACUCACUAGAUCACAGAAGGAUGGCUCACUAGAUCACAGAAGAUUGUUCCACUGUUGAGCCUUCCUAUCCCCUUGUACACAGAGCCUCCUUCUUCCACUCAUUAUGUUUGUGAGUGAGUAUGGAGAGUGAUAAGCCAUCCCUUUGUUCGUGGGACCCAUCCUCCUAGAAUGUUGACUAGCAAAGUGUUGACUGGAGAUGGCCAGAUAGGGUACAGCAGACUGUGUUUCCUUGCC
Molecule: long non-coding RNA, 1125 nt
Organism: Peromyscus californicus insignis
Lineage: Eukaryota; Metazoa; Chordata; Mammalia; Rodentia; Cricetidae
Exons: 4
Source: RefSeq, a predicted model, not a curated record